AUAUGGACUGUAAUGCGAAUUUGUUUUAUGAACUACGUUAGUUCAACUGUGAAAGAACUGUGAAUUUUUUUAUUUUCAAAGACUUUAAUCUUAAUUUAAUGUUAUUUAUAUAUUGUAUUUCAAUUUUCUUUUCUACGUAAAGUAAUUUUUUGAGGCCCCGAGAAUGUCGAGAAGACCGCGGGACCGGCAACGUCUCGGAAG
RNAcentral lists this long non-coding RNA (201 nucleotides) under Mytilus galloprovincialis (Mediterranean mussel). Lineage: Eukaryota; Metazoa; Mollusca; Bivalvia; Mytilida; Mytilidae. The record is from RNAcentral.